CUGGGUUAGUCGGGUCCUAAGCUGAGGCCGACAGGCGUAGGCGAUGGAUAACAGGUUGAUAUUCCUGUACCACCUAUAAUCGUUUUAAUCGAUGGGGGGACGCAGUAGGAUAGGCGAAGCGUGCGAUUGGAUUGCACGUCUAAGCAGUAAGGCUGAGUAUUAGGCAAAUCCGGUACUCGUUAAGGCUGAGCUGUGAUGGGGAGAAGACAUUGUGUCUUCGAGUCGUUGAUUUCACACUGCCGAGAAAAGCCUCUAGAUAGAAAAUAGGUGCCCGUACCGCAAACCGACACAGGUAGUCAAGAUGAGAAUUCUAAGGUGAGCGAGCGAACUCUCGUUAAGGAACUCGGCAAAAUGACCCCGUAACUUCGGGAGAAGGGGUGCUCUUUAGGGUUAACGCCCAGAAGAGCCGCAGUGAAUAGGCCCAAGCGACUGUUUAUCAAAAACACAGGUCUCUGCUAAACCGUAAGGUGAUGUAUAGGGGCUGACGCCUGCCCGGUGCUGGAAGGUUAAGAGGAGUGGUUAGCUUCUGCGAAGCUACGAAUCGAAGCCCCAGUAAACGGCGGCCGUAACUAUAACGGUCCUAAGGUAGCGAAAUUCCUUGUCGGGUAAGUUCCGACCCGCACGAAAGGCGUAACGAUUUGGGCACUGUCUCAACGAGAGACUCGGUGAAAUCAUAGUACCUGUGAAGAUGCAGGUUACCCGCGACAGGACGGAAAGACCCCGUGGAGCUUUACUGUAGCCUGAUAUUGAAAUUCGGCACAGCUUGUACAGGAUAGGUAGGAGCCUUUGAAACGUGAGCGCUAGCUUACGUGGAGGCGCUGGUGGGAUACUACCCUAGCUGUGUUGGCUUUCUAACCCGCACCACUUAUCGUGGUGGGAGACAGUGUCAGGCGGGCAGUUUGACUGGGGCGGUCGCCUCCUAAAAGGUAACGGAGGCGCUCAAAGGUUCCCUCAGAAUGGUUGGAAAUCAUUCAUAGAGUGUAAAGGCAUAAGGGAGCUUGACUGCGAGACCUACAAGUCGAGCAGGGUCGAAAGACGGACUUAGUGAUCCGGUGGUUCCGCAUGGAAGGGCCAUCGCUCAACGGAUAAAAGCUACCCCGGGGAUAACAGGCUUAUCUCCCCCAAGAGUUCACAUCGACGGGGAGGUUUGGCACCUCGAUGUCGGCUCAUCGCAUCCUGGGGCUGUAGUCGGUCCCAAGGGUUGGGCUGUUCGCCCAUUAAAGCGGUACGCGAGCUGGGUUCAGAACGUCGUGAGACAGUUCGGUCCCUAUCCGUCGUGGGCGUAGGAAAUUUGAGAGGAGCUGUCCUUAGUACGAGAGGACCGGGAUGGACAUACCUCUGGUGUACCAGUUGUCGUGCCAACGGCAUAGCUGGGUAGCUAUGUGUGGACGGGAUAAGUGCUGAAAGCAUCUAAGCAUGAAGCCCCCCUCAAGAUGAGAUUUCCCAACUUCGGUUAUAAGAUCCCUCAAAGAUGAUGAGGUUAAUAGGUUCGAGGUGGAAGCAUGGUGACAUGUGGAGCUGACGAAUACUAAUCGAUCGAAGACUUAAUCAAAA
This 1554-nucleotide ribosomal RNA is filed under the name Staphylococcus aureus. RNAcentral's name for it is "partial 23S ribosomal RNA". It matches the Rfam family "Bacterial large subunit ribosomal RNA", at positions 1375 to 2925 of the family's 2925-position model. Lineage: Bacteria; Bacillati; Bacillota; Bacilli; Caryophanales; Staphylococcaceae. The record is from RNAcentral.